UACGGAGGGGGCUAGCGUUGUUCGGAAUUACUGGGCGUAAAGCGCGCGUAGGCGGACCUGCAAGUCGGGGGUGAAAGCCCGAGGCUUAACCUCGGAACUGCCCUCGAUACUGCGGGUCUCGAGUCCGGGAGAGGUGAGUGGAAUUCCUAGUGUAGAGGUGAAAUUCGUAGAUAUUAGGAAGAACACCAGUGGCGAAGGCGGCUCACUGGCCCGGUACUGACGCUGAGGCGCGAAAGCGUGGGGAGCAAACAGG
RNAcentral lists this ribosomal RNA (253 nucleotides) under uncultured bacterium. RNAcentral describes it as "partial 16S ribosomal RNA". It matches the Rfam family "Bacterial small subunit ribosomal RNA", at positions 524 to 776 of the family's 1533-position model. The record is from RNAcentral.